This 450-nucleotide ribosomal RNA is filed under the name uncultured bacterium. RNAcentral describes it as "bacterial SSU rRNA". It matches the Rfam family "Bacterial small subunit ribosomal RNA", at positions 29 to 524 of the family's 1533-position model. The record is from RNAcentral.
AACGAACGCUGGCGGCAGGCUUAACACAUGCAAGUCGAACGAUGUAGCAAUACAUAGUGGCGCACGGGUGAGUAACGCGUGGGAAUAUACCAAUCAGUGGGGAAUAACUUUGGGAAACUAAAGCUAAUACCGCAUACGCCCGAGAGGGGAAAGAUUUAUCGCUGAUUGAUUAGCCCGCGUGAGAUUAGGUAGUUGGUGGGGUAAUGGCCUACCAAGCCUACGAUCUCUAGCUGGUCUGAGAGGAUGAUCAGCCACACUGGAACUGAGACACGGUCCAGACUCCUACGGGAGGCAGCAGUGGGGAAUAUUGGGCAAUGGAGGAAACUCUGACCCAGCCAUGCCGCGUGAAUGAUGAAGGCCUUAGGGUUGUAAAAGUUCUUUCGCCGAUGAAGAUAAUGACGGUAGUCGGAGAAGAAGCCCCGGCUAACUCGUGCCAGCAGCCGCGGUAAU